UAGUAACGGCGAGUGAAGCGGGAUGAGCUCAAGCUUAAAAUCUCCGUGCAAUUUUUGCAUGGCGAAUUGUAGUCUAUAGAGGCGUGGUCAGUAUGAGCACUUGGAGAAAGUUCCUUGGAAUAGGACAGCAUGGAGGGUGAUACUCCCGUUCAUCUCUUAGCUGCUUGUGCGUACGACCCGUUUUCUUUGAGUCGCGUUGUUUGAGAAUGCAGCGCAAAGUAGGUGGUAAAUUCCAUCUAAAGCUAAAUAUUGGUGCGAGACCGAUAGCAAACAAGUACCGUGAGGGAAAGAUGAAAAGAACUUUGAAAAUAGAGUUAAAGAGUACCUGAAACUGCUGAAAGGGAACCAAAUCGUUUCCAGUGUCUAUAAUCCGUUGUAUAUUUCAUUGGCGAGUGUAUGCGUGCGUGUGCUGUUGCAGUGGCCUUUUGGUUGCGCUCGGCGCGUGUGUUGUGUGUGCUUGUUGGUGCCCUGUGCUGCGGUGGGACGUCAAGGUCAGUUCGUAUGCUGCGGGAAAUGGCUACCGAGGAGGUAGGGCUCACGCUUGCGUUUGUCUGUUAUAUCUUGGUAGACGAGUAGUCGCGGUUGGGACUGAGGUGCCUACAACGUGCUUUUGAGUGGGCUUGGGUCUCCGUGUGCGCCGUGUGCGGAUAGCUUGCUAUGCGUGUGUGGUUGUGUGUGGAUUGAUGCGAGCCGUAAC
This 697-nucleotide ribosomal RNA is filed under the name Plasmopara geranii. Its description in RNAcentral is "LSU rRNA". It matches the Rfam family "Eukaryotic large subunit ribosomal RNA", at positions 81 to 630 of the family's 3401-position model. Lineage: Eukaryota; Oomycota; Peronosporomycetes; Peronosporales; Peronosporaceae. The record is from RNAcentral.